RNAcentral lists this ribosomal RNA (497 nucleotides) under uncultured bacterium. Its description in RNAcentral is "partial 16S ribosomal RNA". It matches the Rfam family "Bacterial small subunit ribosomal RNA", at positions 28 to 507 of the family's 1533-position model. The record is from RNAcentral.
GAUGAACGCUGGCGGCGUGCCUAAUACAUGCAAGUCGAGCGAACAGACGAGGAGCUUGCUCCUCUGACGUUAGCGGCGGACGGGUGAGUAACACGUGGAUAACCUACCUAUAAGACUGGGAUAACUUCGGGAAACCGGAGCUAAUACCGGAUAAUAUAUUGAACCGCAUGGUUCAAUAGUGAAAGACGGUUUUGCUGUCACUUAUAGAUGGAUCCGCGCCGCAUUAGCUAGUUGGUAAGGUAACGGCUUACCAAGGCAACGAUGCGUAGCCGACCUGAGAGAGUGAUCGGCCACACUGAAACUGAGACACGGUCCAGACUCCUACGGGAGGCAGCAGUAGGGAAUCUUCCGCAAUGGGCGAAAGCCUGACGGAGCAACGCCGCGUGAGUGAUGAAGGUCUUCGGAUCGUAAAACUCUGUUAUUAGGGAAGAACAAAUGUGUAAGUAACUAUGCACGUCUUGACGGUACCUAAUCAGAAAGCCACGGCUAACUACGUG